Molecule: ribosomal RNA, 661 nt
Filed under: Coolia malayensis
Lineage: Eukaryota; Dinophyceae; Peridiniales; Ostreopsidaceae
Description: LSU rRNA
Rfam family: Eukaryotic large subunit ribosomal RNA
Source: RNAcentral
UNNCCCGCUGAAUUUAAGCAUAUAAGUAAGUGGUGGAAGAAAAAAUAAACAUGAUUCUUUUAGUAAUGGCGAAUGAACAAAGACAUGGUCAUUUUGAAAAUUGUGGUCUUAGAUCAUGAAUUGUAUUUUCAAAAUGCAUUGCUAACACAACUGCACAUGUUUGUUUAUUGGAAAGAACAUCACAAAGGGUGACAAUCCCAUGUGUCAUGUGUAUGUUUUGUGUACAGCGUGCAUUAUAUGAAUCACAUUCAUUGACAAUUGAAUGCAAAUAGAAUGGUAAAUUUCAUUUAAUCAUAAAUAUGUUGUUGACAACUUAUAGCAAACAAAUACCAUGAGGGAAAUGUGAAAAGGAUUUUGAAAAGAAAAUUAAAAGAGCUUGCAAUUGCUGAACUGAUAAGCAAACAAAACAUACGUGUGUAUGCAAGAUUGUUGUAAUGCUUAGCAUCCUAUGCAAGGCUAUUGCAAUGAUUUUUUGUAUAGUGAUGCUACCUUUUUUUAGAAUUUGGAAUGUCUUUUUUUGAGUGUGAAUGGAAUUUUGUUUGUUAGCAAAGGAAUGCACUUUUAGAUUCAUUGUUUGAUUUGAUUUAAAAAURUUUGUGACAUGUGUCUUUGUUUUAGUUUCAUGCUUCAACCAAGGACAUUGUGUUGAUCCAUAUCAGCA